UACGCAGAGACAGUCUUAAACAGGUCU
Molecule: unclassified non-coding RNA, 27 nt
Filed under: Mus musculus (house mouse)
Lineage: Eukaryota; Metazoa; Chordata; Mammalia; Rodentia; Muridae
Description: oocyte_clustered_small_RNA2958
Source: RNAcentral